CCUACGGGGGGCAGCAGUGGGGAAUAUUGGACAAUGGGGGCAACCCUGAUCCAGCCAUGCCGCGUGUGUGAAGAAGGCCCUCGGGUUGUAAAGCACUUUCAGUGAGGAAGAACGCCUGGUGGUUAAUACCCAUCAGGAAAGACAUCACUCACAGAAGAAGCACCGGCUAACUCCGUGCCAGCAGCCGCGGUAAUACGGAGGGUGCGAGCAUUAAUCGGAAUUACUGGGCGUAAAGCGCGCGUAGGUGGCUUGAUAAGCCGGUUGUGAAAGCCCCGGGCUCAACCUGGGAACGGCAUCCGGAACUGUCAAGCUAGAGUGCAGGAGAGGAAGGUAGAAUUCACGGUGUAGCGGUGAAAUGCGUAGAGAUCGGGAGGAAUACCAGUGGCGAAGGCGGCCUUCUGGACUGACACUGACACUGAGGUGCGAAAGCGUGGGUAGCAAACAGGAUUAGAUACCCGUGUAGUC
This 465-nucleotide ribosomal RNA is filed under the name Vreelandella stevensii. Its description in RNAcentral is "partial 16S ribosomal RNA". It matches the Rfam family "Bacterial small subunit ribosomal RNA", at positions 338 to 795 of the family's 1533-position model. The record is from RNAcentral. Lineage: Bacteria; Pseudomonadati; Pseudomonadota; Gammaproteobacteria; Oceanospirillales; Halomonadaceae.